GAUCCAAGGUUCAAGGUUCAAGGUUCAUAGUAGAAGGUCAAGAGUUCAAGGACUAGUGUUUAGGGUUCAAGGUCUAAGGUUGAAGGUUUAGGGUUUAGAGUUUAGGGUCCAGGGUCUAAAGUCGAAGGUCUAAGAUUCAGGUUAAAAAAAAUUAUCAACAUUAUGUAUCAAUGACAUGAAAAACAUGAUGAGAUGACAUUAAAUAAUUG
RNAcentral lists this long non-coding RNA (209 nucleotides) under Gossypium raimondii (Peruvian cotton). Its description in RNAcentral is "long non-coding RNA (GRAI_LNC002704)". Lineage: Eukaryota; Viridiplantae; Streptophyta; Magnoliopsida; Malvales; Malvaceae. The record is from RNAcentral.